This 789-nucleotide long non-coding RNA is filed under the name Equus caballus (horse). RNAcentral describes it as "lncRNA (ENSECAG00000058742.1)". Lineage: Eukaryota; Metazoa; Chordata; Mammalia; Perissodactyla; Equidae. The record is from RNAcentral.
AUACUGUGGGGGAGUUUCCAUGUGGCCCCAGGUGUGCUGAGGUGGAAGAAUGAAAGCUGCCCUUGAGAGCUCAAGAGAGAGAGGAAGGGAAACAGCUGUGAGCAUCUCUGGGCGGAAGAGACGUGUUCUCAGACAACCUCUGGAGGUAUCCAGCACAUGGGGAAUCUCUCCAGUGACCCCAUAGCACAUCCCUGGAGCUUCAGCUCAAGAGUGGGCCUUCAAGGGCUCCUCGACUCAUCACUCUCCGCUAUGGAAAAGCCAGGUCGUCCCAGGAGCCCCUUCAGCCACGCCACGCUCUCAGUGUUGCUCAGCCGACCCAGGAUUAAUAUUUGGGGAGAUGAAGAAACAUAUUUCCAAAUCCCAGAGGGGAUCACUUGGGCCAAGCUCUACUCCUUCAAGAUGUACGAGUUGCCGCACUGAUGUCUCCACCUAGAACUUGUAAAGAUACUCAUGAAUUUCCACAAGCUGCACACCCACUCCUCCCAGGCUAAGUGCUGGAUAAGGGGAUCUCCAGCCCAAGAGGCCUCUCCUGCAGGGCCUCUGGGGUCCUUGGUGACCAGUGCACUCAGUCUCUUAGGAAGCCAGCCCCAGCCAGCGAGGUGCAUGGAGUCCACAGAAAAGGGCCCGGCCUUCUCCAAGAUGUUUGUUGGUAAGAUACCUCUCAUGCCUGCUCCUCGACUUGUUGCUACCAUCCAGCCUCGGAGGCCACUUUGUUCUCUUCUUCCCAUUUUUUUCUCUAAUUGUGCUCUUGUCUCCUCUCCACACACACAUACGUCCACCAUACUGUCC